Molecule: ribosomal RNA, 605 nt
Filed under: uncultured archaeon
Lineage: Archaea
Description: bacterial SSU rRNA
Rfam family: Archaeal small subunit ribosomal RNA
Source: RNAcentral
GCAGGCGCGAAAACUUUACAAUGCGGGAAACCGUGAUAAGGGAACACCGAGUGCCAGCAUCAUAUGCUGGCUGUCCAGAUGUGUAAACUACAUCUGUUAGCAAGGGCCGGGCAAGACCGGUGCCAGCCGCCGCGGUAACACCGGCGGCCCGAGUGGUGACCGUUAUUAUUGGGUCUAAAGGGUCCGUAGCCGGUUUGGUCAGUCCUCCGGGAAAUCUGAUAGCUUAACUGUUAGGCUUUCGGGGGAUACUGCCAGGCUUGGAACCGGGAGAGGUAAGAGGUACUACAGGGGUAGGAGUGAAAUCUUGUAAUCCCUGUGAGACCACCUGUGGCGAAGGCGUCUUACCAGAACGGGUUCGACGGUGAGGGACGAAAGCUGGGGGCACGAACCGGAUUAGAUACCCGGGUAGUCCCAGCCGUAAACUAUGCUCGCUAGGUGUCAGGCAUGGCGCGACCGUGUCUGGUGCCGCAGGGAAGCCGUGAAGCGAGCCACCUGGGAAGUACGGCCGCAAGGCUGAAACUUAAAGGAAUUGGCGGGGGAGCACAGCAACGGGUGGAGCCUGCGGUUUAAUUGGACUCAACGCCGGACAACUCACCGGGAACGAC